This 890-nucleotide ribosomal RNA is filed under the name Klebsiella pneumoniae. RNAcentral's name for it is "partial 23S ribosomal RNA". It matches the Rfam family "Bacterial large subunit ribosomal RNA", at positions 611 to 1506 of the family's 2925-position model. RNAcentral also lists the same sequence under 1 other name. The record is from RNAcentral. Lineage: Bacteria; Pseudomonadati; Pseudomonadota; Gammaproteobacteria; Enterobacterales; Enterobacteriaceae.
UAUAAUGGGUCAGCGACUUAUAUUCUGUAGCAAGGUUAACCGUAUAGGGGAGCCGCAGGGAAACCGAGUCUUAACUGGGCGUUAAGUUGCAGGGUAUAGACCCGAAACCCGGUGAUCUAGCCAUGGGCAGGUUGAAGGUUGGGUAACACUAACUGGAGGACCGAACCGACUAAUGUUGAAAAAUUAGCGGAUGACUUGUGGCUGGGGGUGAAAGGCCAAUCAAACCGGGAGAUAGCUGGUUCUCCCCGAAAGCUAUUUAGGUAGCGCCUCGUGAACUCAUCUUCGGGGGUAGAGCACUGUUUCGGCUAGGGGGUCAUCCCGACUUACCAACCCGAUGCAAACUACGAAUACCGAAGAAUGUUAUCACGGGAGACACACGGCGGGUGCUAACGUCCGUCGUGAAGAGGGAAACAACCCAGACCGCCAGCUAAGGUCCCAAAGUCAUGGUUAAGUGGGAAACGAUGUGGGAAGGCACAGACAGCCAGGAUGUUGGCUUAGAAGCAGCCAUCAUUUAAAGAAAGCGUAAUAGCUCACUGGUCGAGUCGGCCUGCGCGGAAGAUGUAACGGGGCUAAACCAUGCACCGAAGCUGCGGCAGCGACACUAUGUGUUGUUGGGUAGGGGAGCGUUCUGUAAGCCUGCGAAGGUGUGCUGUGAGGCAUGCUGGAGGUAUCAGAAGUGCGAAUGCUGACAUAAGUAACGAUAAAGCGGGUGAAAAGCCCGCUCGCCGGAAGACCAAGGGUUCCUGUCCAACGUUAAUCGGGGCAGGGUGAGUCGACCCCUAAGGCGAGGCCGAAAGGCGUAGUCGAUGGGAAACAGGUUAAUAUUCCUGUACUUGGUGUUACUGCGAAGGGGGGACGGAGAAGGCUAUGUUAGCCGGGCGACGGUUGUC